RNAcentral lists this ribosomal RNA (253 nucleotides) under uncultured bacterium. RNAcentral describes it as "partial 16S ribosomal RNA". It matches the Rfam family "Bacterial small subunit ribosomal RNA", at positions 524 to 776 of the family's 1533-position model. The record is from RNAcentral.
UACGGGGGGAGCAAGCGUUGUCCGGAUUCAUUGGGCGUAAAGAGCGUGUAGGCGGCCAGGUAGGUCGGUUGUGAAAACUGGAGGCUCAACCUUCAGACGUCGACCGAAACCAUCUGGCUAGAGUCCGGGAGAGGAGAGUGGAAUUCCUGGUGUAGCGGUGAAAUGCGCAGAUAUCAGGAGGAACACCGGUGGCGAAGGCGGUUCUCUGGGCCUUACCUGACGCUGAGGAGCGAAAGCGUGGGGAGCGAACAGG